This is a long non-coding RNA of Pogoniulus pusillus (Red-fronted tinkerbird), 664 nucleotides long. RefSeq lists it as uncharacterized. NCBI's taxonomy places the organism in Eukaryota, Metazoa, Chordata, Aves, Piciformes, Lybiidae. The record is from RefSeq and is a predicted model, not a curated record. The transcript is spliced from 4 exons.
AACCCGAUCCCGCUGCCUCUCUACUCCCCUUUUAAAACAGAGGAACUUGCUCCUCGCCUCCCUUUCGCCCUCCCUGCGGCCAUCGCCCUCCCGCUCCCGCUGCUCUACGGCUGACUACGAGCCCCGGACCCCCGAGGACGGACGGGACCCUCGCCUAGGCUCCGCUCGUACGUAUCUGCCUUUUCACCCUCUCCUUGUGCUUUCUCUGCAGCUCCCCUGCCCUGAAAGCCUUCUCGCUGCCGCUCGAGUUCUCUACCUGCCCGAGGGAAGGGAGAUGCGUUUGGGGGGCUAAGGUGCACUGACUGCUACCCCCGCAGGAGCCGGGCUGGGAGCGGAGACCGCACCCCGGGGAGGAUGAACGCGCUGCACCUGCCGGCUGAGUGGUAACUCGUGCGGGUGGAAUGGAUGUGGUGAUUGUUCUAAAGAAAAGGUGCCUACAACUUUGAUAAGCAGAGGAAAGACCCUGCAAAGAUUCAGAGAUCAUCAUGCAGACGUCUGGGCUAAGCUCUUACUGCCGUGCACGUCCUACCUGAGUUAUUCUGGGGGAGAAGGAAUUGCUUUGGCUGUGUGCUUGGGCUUCUCCUGCAUUGACUUAAGAAAAAGGGUUGCAAAUGUUAUCCCAGUGCCUCUGCCUCCCUUACUCCAAUAAAUGUUUGCAAAUGCU